AACGAACGCUGGCGGCAUGCCUAACACAUGCAAGUCGCACGAGCCCUUCGGGUCUAGUGGCGCACGGGUGCGUAACGCGUGGGAACCUGCCUUUAGGUUCGGAAUAACUUAGUGAAAUUUGAGCUAAUACCGGACGAUGUCUUCGGACCAAAGAAUUAUCGCCUUUAGAUGGGCCCGCGUUGGAUUAGCUCGUUGGUGGGGUAAAGGCCUACCAAGGCGACGAUCCAUAGCUGGUCUGAGAGGAUGAUCAGCCACACUGGGACUGAGACACGGCCCAGACUCCUACGGGAGGCAGCAGUGGGGAAGAUUGGACAAUGGGCGAAAGCCUGAUCCAGCAAUGCCGCGUGAGUGAUGAAGGCCUUAGGGUUGUAAAGCUCUUUUACCCGAGAUGAUAAUGACAGUAGCGGGAGAAUAAGCUCCGGCUAACUCCGUG
This 433-nucleotide ribosomal RNA is filed under the name uncultured bacterium. RNAcentral's name for it is "partial 16S ribosomal RNA". It matches the Rfam family "Bacterial small subunit ribosomal RNA", at positions 29 to 507 of the family's 1533-position model. The record is from RNAcentral.